GCCAGCAGCCAUAUCACCCUGCAAGACAACUGGCAGCCCGUUGAAGCUUAGUAGGUGUGAGCCUGGUCAGUACCUGGAUGGGGGACCUCCUGGGAAAAACUAAGGUUGCUGCUGGAA
This 117-nucleotide ribosomal RNA is filed under the name Lepisosteus oculatus (spotted gar). Lineage: Eukaryota; Metazoa; Chordata; Actinopteri; Semionotiformes; Lepisosteidae. The record is from RNAcentral.